This 67-nucleotide transfer RNA is filed under the name Marmota monax (woodchuck). Its description in RNAcentral is "tRNA.Ala". Lineage: Eukaryota; Metazoa; Chordata; Mammalia; Rodentia; Sciuridae. The record is from RNAcentral.
GGUUGUGGCUCAGUGGCAGAGCGCUUGCCUUGCACAUGUGAGAUACUGGGUUCAAUCCUCAACACCA